UAACGAAUCUUCCCCAAUGCACGAAAGUGUGAGGGAGCGACGCCGCGUGGAGGAUGAAGUCCUUCGGGAUGUAAACUCCUGUCAGGGGUUAGAAAGUUCUGAUCAACCCCAGAGGAAGUGGCGGCUAACUCUGUGCCAGCAGCCGCGGUAAGACAGAGGCCACAAGCGUUAGGCGGAAUCACUGGGCUUAAAGCGUGUGUAGGCGGACCGUUAAGUGCUUUGUGAAAUCCCCCGGCUCAACCGGGGAAUGGCUGGGCAUACUGGCGGUCUUGAGCUGCCUAGGGGUCACUGGAACAAACGGUGGAGCGGUGAAAUGCGUAGAUAUUCGGAGGAACACCAGUGGCGAAGGCGGCCUACUGGGCUCUAACUGACGCUGAGGCUCGAAAGUGUGGGGAGCAAACA
RNAcentral lists this ribosomal RNA (402 nucleotides) under uncultured prokaryote. Its description in RNAcentral is "bacterial SSU rRNA". It matches the Rfam family "Bacterial small subunit ribosomal RNA", at positions 355 to 774 of the family's 1533-position model. The record is from RNAcentral.